AACGAACGCUGGCGGCAGGCUUAACACAUGCAAGUCGAGCGAGACCUUCGGGUCUAGCGGCGGACGGGGGAGUAACGCGUGGGAACGUGCCCUUCUCUAUGGAAUAGCCCCGGGAAACUGGGAGUAAUACCGUAUACGCUCUUUGGGGGAAAGAUUUAUCGGAGAAGGUUCGGCCCGCGUUGGAUUAGGUAGUUGGUGGGGUAAUUGCCCACCAAGCCGACGAUCCAUAGCUGGCUUGAGAGGAUGAUCAGCCACACUGGGACUGAGACACGGCCCAGACUCCUACGGGAGGCAGCAGUGGGGAAUCUUAGACAAUGGGGGCAACCCUGAUCGAGCCAUGCCGCGUGAGUGAUGAAGGCCUUAGGGUUGUAAAGCUCUUUAAGCUGGGAAGAUAAUGACGGUACCAGCAGAAGAAGCCCCGGCUAACUCCGUG
This 433-nucleotide ribosomal RNA is filed under the name uncultured bacterium. RNAcentral's name for it is "partial 16S ribosomal RNA". It matches the Rfam family "Bacterial small subunit ribosomal RNA", at positions 29 to 507 of the family's 1533-position model. The record is from RNAcentral.